GGGGAGAAGGCAUGGAAGUGGGAGAGAUCAUCUAGGAAAGAGAUCUCAAAGAGAUUACAAAGGAAAUCUUCCAUAAGCACAAAAGGGCCAUCCAAAGCGAAAUAGAGAGAAGAAGAGCAUCCAAGAGAAUCCCAAAGCUUCCUCUCCAUCCGUGUGCUGCCUCAGUGAUCCUCUACCUCGUGCCAAAUCAGAAGAGGGUCAAGUAAAGAAGAAGCCGAGCUCCUCCAUCUUCAAAACUCGUUUGAGGGCUUCUCUUUACUCUAUUUGUUUAUAUUGUUAUAUUUGCUUGCUUAAGAAGC
RNAcentral lists this long non-coding RNA (299 nucleotides) under Phoenix dactylifera (date palm). RNAcentral's name for it is "long non-coding RNA (PDAC_LNC020338)". Lineage: Eukaryota; Viridiplantae; Streptophyta; Magnoliopsida; Arecales; Arecaceae. The record is from RNAcentral.